CAUGUUUAUUUAUAAGAGGUCAGCGUUUCUUUAAAAACUCAGUGUACCAUGUGGUGGAAUUUGGAUAUGUUAUUGUACCAGCCAUAGCUGUUAGUUGGAAGCGGAUUGCCUACAUUAAAAGAUGCUUUGCUGGCAUACUGUGGUAAACUACAUGUGCCUGUCUGGACACGCCCCCUGCUGACUGCUCCUGUGGCUCCUCCCACAGACCCCUGUAUAAAGGCGAUCAAGGCCUGAGCCCAGCCUCUCAGUCUCCAGGAUGUAGUAUGGUGGUCACUCACUGCUUGUUCCUUCUUCCAGUCGAUAAAAGCCGCUAUCUCGCCUUCACGUCUCAGAUUUAUUUACCCGGAAGCAUUUGAAGAUCUUUUGAAGGCUCUAUGAAAGGUACAGAUUUUUUUUUAAAUGGAGGAUUGAAGGUAUGGUCAAUAUUUUUUCCCUUUGAAUAUUGCUGAUGAAGUAGGCAUCAAUUAGUCAUCUGAAAAGUAUUUCUCUUCCAAAUUUCCAGUUGGAUUUAAUAUUACACAAAACCUGCGAUGAACUGGUCCAAUUUGGCAAGUGUCCAUGAUGCCAACUACUAGAGAUUGUUAGACACAGCACAUCUUUCAGGAAUUAUGUGGCCAGCAGGCAUUAAUACAGACGAGGACCAGUCUUCAAAUAAAAACUGUUCAAAUGUUACUGCUUGCUGGUUAUCAAUUUUGAAAUUAAAAGGACAGCUACAUGAGCAACACACACAAAAUACUGGAGGAACUCAGCAGGUCAGGCAGCAUCUAUGGAGGGAAAUAAACAGUCAAUAUUUCAGGCUGAGACCCUUCAUCAGGACUGCUGCUCAAUUGUUGUAUGUGUUGCUCAAGAUUUCCAGCAGUUGCAAAAUCUAUUGUGUCUCUUAUUGGCUAUGCGAGCAAACAGUCCUGUCUACAGAGCCCAGGUCACCGGCCUAAACUGGCUCAUCAGAGAAAUGGUUUGUAAACUGGCAUGAUCAUAUGAUAUUCUGGUGUGCAUCAGCCAAACAGACAACAGGCAUGCGUUAACUGACCAAAAUUAAACCAGGUACCAGACACCUUCAUUCAAAUUAUUUUGUGUGAGAUUAAGGAUGCUUCCAAAUCAGAUUUAAUUUGUUACUUUGCAUUCCGAUUUCUGAAUGGACAUUGACCCAUGAACACUACCUCAUUAUCUUUUUAUUUCUAUUUUUGCACUACUUAUUUAAUAUAUAUUUAUUGUAAUUCAUGUUUUUUCUCUUAUUAUAUAUUACUGUACUGCUGCCAUGAAGACAAGUUUCACGACAUAUGCUGGUGAUAUUAAACCUGAUUCCGAUAUUAAACAUAAUCAAAGGCAUAUUAGUUCUGUCUGUCAAUAAUUGGGAUUUUUUAUACCCAGAGAGUCAGCUUUCACAAGACUAAUUCUGGGUUCUCUGUCCUCAGAGGUCUGUGUGAAUUUCUUUAUCCCAGCAAAGGUGUUCGAACAUUCUUAAGUGUCUUAUAGGUUGGAGUAUGCUCCCAUUGUAAAUAUGUAAUUCAAUUAAACCUUAUGUUAGACUCAAAAUAUUGAAAUAAAUGCUGUCACUGAAGCUGUUAAAAUUGUAUCACCUGUUAUUUGUUCUUAAUAGGGUAAAAACCUGAUGAACUUUGAGUUUGGAGGAUGCAGAAAGGGUCUCAAAGAGAACGCGUGCUUGUCAUAAUGAAUAAAGACCUUUUGCAUCUAUCAGCUUCCACUCUCCAGUGACAAAGUCACAGGCACAACAAGAGGCUAGUAGAAGAUUGAAACUCUCUAAAGACAGCAGAUGUUAGGUUAAUUAAACAUUUUUAAUGUGAAUUGACAGAUUUUAGGAAUGUAUGAAUACUAAGGCAUAUGGAGACAAGGUAGUUGGAACUGGAAUAUUAGUUGUUCAUGAUCUAAUUGAAUGAGGUAUCAGUUUCAUUAGGCUAAAUAACCUUCCCCUAUUCUAAUGGUGGGCCUUCAAAAUCUGUUUAAGUUUAUGUACUGACAAUAAUUUCAAUGGCAAUUAUAUCUAGCCAUAGAUUAAAGGAAGGAUUCAAAUUUGCUGUCAAAGCAAAACUGGGUGAAAACAAUUUUUGCAUAUAUUACUCUGCAGCUGUGAGAAGUAUAUAUCCACAUACAGUAAACACAUCUAAAUUUGCCAUCAGAAUUUCAUUGGUCUCACUUUAAUUGUGUAAAGACAGUAUUUCACUAUCUACAUUGAAUGUUGUAAAACUGGGGCUUAUACCCUCAAAUAUCAAAUUAAACUUCAUUAAAUCUUUUCAUUCUAAUCUUUUAUUCAUUUUUGCUUCUCUUUCUGUAUUUGAUUUAACAGUGAACGACUGGCCCCUCUGAUUUCCGUUCUUUUCAGUCCCUUCAUUUAUUUCCUUGUCCUUAAAUCCAAGAGUUGGAGGAAAACACCUGUUGGCUGACAUGUUGGCUGGUGUUCAGGUCCCUACUGCCCUGUUUAUCUCAUGCACCCACACUUACAGCAGCUGUGAGGGGAAUUUUUCUUUAAAUUGCAGAGUCAAAUCCAAUAAAUGGAAAUUCAAGUGCUGCAGCAAUUCAGGUCAAUCAAGUAAUGCCUGAAAGAAGCUCUUGGUUUUAUUGCUGGUUUACUAUUUUCAUCCUUGUGUAUUUGUAUCAAUUUCUCUUCAGAAAAUAAUGCUGCUGAUUUGAUACAACUUUUCCCUCAACUUCAGUGGCAUCAAACAUUCCUAGAAAUGAUCUUCCCUUUGCUGUAAAGCAAAUUGCUGGAAGAACUCAGCAAGUCAGGCAGCACCUGUGGAGUCUCGAUGAGCGACUCUCGGAAAGAGGGUGUGCAGAGUUUGAGAGAAUCUUGGUGGAUUGAAAGCUGAGUAAAGCAGACAUUGGUAGGUAUGGAUUAUCUGAGAUCUAUUCACCCCAUUGGCUUGCAGUCUACUAGUGGGGAAUAUGAGGUACCAUUCUUCCAGUUUGUGUUUGGUGUUGCUCUGGUAGAGGAGAAGGCUGAGGAUAGAAUGUCUAUGUGGCAAUGGGAAGACGAGUUGACAUGGUAUGCAAAUUGGAACUCACGAUGGGUUAUUGUGGAACCAUUUGCUUUUCACUCACACACACUUAAUCCAGAGGGCCUCCACUUGUUCCUUUCACCCAUCAUCCCUCCCUUAUGCAGUUUCAUUCCUCUCUGUCCUUAUUUAUCAGAUUCCAGAAUGUACAGCCCUUUGUUGUCUCCACUUAACACUUCCUUCUGCCUCUGCCUCCUCCUCUUAUCACCACUAUCUGGCUCCAUCUGUCCAACAUACCGUUUUUCACUCGGUUCCACCCAUUACCACCCAGCUGCUCCUUCACCCUUAACUUUAUACAGGCUAUCUCCCCUCUACAGUUUCAGGGUCUCAAUUUGGAAAAAAAAUCUAUCUGUACUCACAGAUGCUGCCUGACCCAUCGAGUCCCUCCUGCAGUUUGUGUGUGGCAUCUUGAUGACAUUUUUGUAGUGUCUGUAGUCCUUUGUCUCCCUAUCUUUGUCAACAAUGGUUUCAUAUGGACCAUAAUGUACCACAAACUGGGACUGUUAUAAUGGAACUACAAUCAGAUAUGAACUUGUGUAUAUGUGCCUAUUUCUCCAAACAUAGAACAAGCAAACUUGGCAAUGGUACACCUUUGUAUUUCAUAGUCCUGAUUGUUGAAUGUGUUCUUAGAACAAGAAUAACAUUGGAUUCACAUACUUAUGGCAACACACCUUCAAUUGAUGCAAAAUAUCACAAAAACAAACUACAUUGUUACUCUUCAGUGCCAAUUUUUGUCCUUUGAAUUGUGCAGGAAAUACUAAAGGUGCGAACUACAAAUCACUGUCAUUGUUGUAGUUAAUUUCUUGAUUCCCCUCAUGUUCAAAACUCCUCACAGCCUUUUCCUGACUUCACACAGCUUUCUGAUGUAGCAACAAUUGUUGCUGAGUUGAAUAAUAGGGAAGGCAACAGCAGGGAGAAUCAGUGACAUGUAAACAUCAUCUGGCAUUGUUCAUUGCAACUCCUUUUAAAAAAUAACACUUCAUAGGGCAUAUGUACAAAAUUAAGGGAGGGAAGUUUAGGGGAGAUAUCAGGGGUAAGUUUUUUUUUACACAGAUGGUUGUGAGUGCCUGGAAUGACUUGCUAGGAAUGGUGGUGGAGGCUAAAACAUUAGGGGUAUUUAAGAGCCUCUUGGACAGGCACAUGGAUGAAAGAAAAAAUGGAGGGUUACGGGGUAGUGUGGGUUUAGUACUUUUUUAAAGGAUUAUAUGGGUGGGCACAACAUAGAGGGCUGUAGGGCCUGUACUGUGCUGUUAUGUUCUAUGGUUCUAUAUUUUAAUAAAAUACCUGUUUUCCCUCCUCCCUCUCCCAACAAUAGCAGCCCGAUAUGGAUUUGGGGAAGUGGGCAUUGCUUGUAGUCCUACAUCCAGCUAGUAUGCAGAGUUUCUUCACAUCUCCACUCCACCCCCUCCAUGAACUUGAUAAUUAGAUUAUCACAAUAUUAUUAAGGAACAACCCCCCCCCCCACCUCCAGUUGUAAUAGUGUAAAAACUUACUGUAUGGCAUUUACAUAUGCUCAAAAACCUGAUUUAAAGGUUACCAAUAUUUGCCAACUGAUCCUUCUUGUGAAUGGAAUCUUUUAGCUCAGAACAUCCUUUGUAUAUAAUAACCAAUCUCCUAGGGCACAGCUAGUUAAGAAUAAAUACAUUACUGAUCAAGGUACGGGUGGUGCUUAAUGGAUCGGAGCGGGCACAGUUGGUGAAAGAGAAGACAAUGAGAGAGUGAGAAGAAUGGAAAUGGAAGAAAUGAGGCAGAGGGAGAGGAGGGGAAACAGUAGGGAGGGGUGGAGAGGAAGAAAAAGUGCUUUAAAGGAGGAAAGGAGAACUGAUGAAUGGGAAAUUCACAUUAGAAGGCAAUUCACCACUACUUACUGAAGUAUAUUUAGAAGACAGCCAUGUAAUCAGAUUUUGCCAGUGAUGCUUAAAUCCAUAUGAACGUUUUCAAAGAAGGACCCCAAAUGUUGUUUGGGGUGAAUAUAAUACCAUGCGAUUACAAUUAUGUCUGUAUAAGGAGCAGAGAAACUUCUUACUGUGACAAGAACUAGGAACGUAGAAUGAAGGUGGUCUGCCAGGGAUAGCAGUGAAGGCAAAUUCAGUUAUGACCAUCAGUAACUGAAAAGUAGGGAAGCUCUGCUCUUCGGCCAAGUAAAUACUUGAUCACAGGGCCAAGUUUAGUGUUAUAAAAAUCCCAAACUAAACAAAUCAAAUAUUUUGUUUCUACUCAUGAUGUCUUCUUGUUCAAAACUGCAACUUAUGUAUACCCAAUGCAAACCCAAUGUAUACUAGACAGGUGAAGUUCCUCACUCCCCAUGAGCUCUCCAUCUAAAACACAAUGUUUUUAACUGACUGAGAAAUUGCUCCAAGACCGGUUUUCUACCCAGUACUACAAGGUAGCAUUCAUGAUUAAUAUUUCAUAUGUUAGCACCUACACAUUGAUAAAUAGCCACAUACAGCCCAUCUAGUUGUUUGCAGAAGCCAAGAACUAGAAAAAAAUGUCAGCAUGAAUGUCUUAACUAAUUACACUAAUUAGGGACUACCGCUGGAGGAUAUUUUACAUUUAUUUUUACUUCUCCACAUAAAUAAUCUCUGUCAGGUCCAAGAUUGCCCUUAUUACCACAGGGAUAGUCUUGUACAUGGAGUACGAGACCAAUUCAUGAUCACCAGGGGAAGUAAUGCAUCUCAAUCAGCAGGUUGCCUGUUGUUUCAUAAUUGUCACAGUUUAUUUUGAGAAUAUAAUCCAAAAAAUGUUAUCUGAUUGUGAAGAACUUAGGGAUUCUGAUAUCAUAAAAGGUUUAAUCUGUUCUGUUCUCCUAGCCAUGUUGUCCUUUUACCCCUGCCCUCACAGUUUUCCCUUUGCAAUUGCACCCAAAUCAUCUCUAGCAAAUUCUCUUUAUUCAUGUUACCUCACCACACUCCAAGAUCUAUACUUAACCCUUUCUUUUCUUUGUCUGUACUAUAGAAACAAUAGUAGACCAUUCAGUCCUUUGAGCAUGUCAUAUCCCUGUUUUUUUUAAUAUCCCUAAGUGUUACAGUCAUAAAGGGAAUAUUCCCAUGAAUGAUAGAAGUUUUCUUUCAAACUGCUUCAGCUACUUGUACUGGGAAUGAAAAGAGUCAUUCACUUUCUUCUAAAUUUGUGGAGUCAAAAAGGAAAGAAUAAAACUGGUCACACCCACCAGGACUGAUAAGGCACUAAAAUCAGACAUGUAGUCAUUCCCUGUCCUGUCAACCUUGCAAAGUUCUCAUUACAUUUGGAGACCGAUAUGCAAAAUGUUGAAGAUGUCCUAUAUGUGAGUCAAGCAAUGUCCUGGUAAAGGCAGAUUUACAGAAUUAUAUGCUACAGUGUGCCAGACUCCUCUAACCCGUCCUGGUAUAUUCUGUCUCACCAACAAGACAGACUCAGAGGUGGAGACAGAAUGGUUUAAAUGUAGGAGGUAAAAGGACAGGCAAUCCCCACCAAUGAUUCCAGAUUUCCGAAAGUCUCCUGGCAUCAGGUCAAAGCCCUUAUUAGCUAGCAUUCACCCUCAGAUGGAUUAUUUCUUCCAUGUUGAAAUCCUCUUAGAAAACACACUGAAAGCAGCAGAGUACAGAACAUACUCAGGGUGGGGAUCUUCAAAGCUUUCUUGACUAUCUGAAGUAAUGCCCAGAUAUGUCCAGCUAACAACAAACAGGAUACCUCAUCCCUACACAAAAAAGCAAAAGAAAUUAUUUUUAAUUACCUCCCUCCUACUAUUACCCUCUCUUUGGUUCUAUUUUUCCAGCCCCAGGGCAUCCAUUUUCUGAAUGAUAUAUCAAGGUAGCCUUAUCAUGGACAGAUCAGACAGCUUGUUCUUCUUUCCAACACAAGUCUCGCAUCUCCCCAGAAGCACCAUAUGACCUCUUCACCAAUGACUACAUUCCUGCCCAUGCUACAAGCUCAGUCACCAAAGUUACAGGCAACACAACUGUGAUUGGCCUAAUCACAAACAAUAAUGAAUUUGCAUAUAGAGAGGAGGUGCUGAAGCUGUCCGAUUGGUGCAGGAACCACAACCUAUCACUCAACAUCAAGACAACAAAAGAAAUGAUGAUUGACUUCACAAAGGCAAGAGGUCCCAAACAAGCCCCACUAUUUAUUUAUUAUGUGGUCUCCAGUUUCAAGAUUUUGAGGUGAACAUCACCAAGCUCUCUUGGUCUGUCAACACAACCUUAACAGAAGGGAAGAUACAACAGUGACUAGACGACCUGAGGUGCUUAAAGAGAGCUAAUCUGCCCCAAAUAUCGCUGGCCAACUUUUAUUGAUGUGUGAUAGAGAGCCUACUGACAUACAGAAUGACAGUGUGGAACUCUAGCUGCAGUAAGACAAAUCACAAAGCACUCCAACGGGUGAUUAGUAUGGCUCAGCACAUCAUUGAGACUCAACUACCAUAAGUGGAGACAAACUAUAAUUCUUGAUGCCUCAUAAAAUCAUUGAACACCCAUCCCAUCCUGGACACUGUUCAAUCUCCUGCUGUCUAGUAGGAGAUACAAAAGCAUUUUAGCCAAGACAGUAAGAUUGAAAAGCAGCUUCUUCCCAAGAGCUGUUGUGCAGUUGAUCAAUGCUACAUCCUGGCUUACCAAUGACCUUUGAGUGUUGUGGACAAAAAAAAAUCACUUAAUACUUGCAAAUGUGGGGUUUCUUUUUAGUUCAGCUGUACCACAUGCACUGUAAAUACCUGUUUUGCACGGACUGGAGUAGCACUGCAAUCUCAUUGUCUUGAGCAAUGACAAUAAAUUUCUAUUCUGUUCUAAACCCAACUUAAUAGGUAUGCACUUUUAUAAAUAUCUUCAUAUUCUUGAUAUGUAAUUCACACUCAACUUUCCAUUAAACUGAUCAAAUUUCUCAUCAUAUUAUUAUAUUAUUAUAUAU
This is a long non-coding RNA of Hypanus sabinus (Atlantic stingray), 7892 nucleotides long. RefSeq lists it as uncharacterized. The record is from RefSeq and is a predicted model, not a curated record. Lineage: Eukaryota; Metazoa; Chordata; Chondrichthyes; Myliobatiformes; Dasyatidae. The transcript is spliced from 3 exons.